Long non-coding RNA from Amaranthus tricolor (Joseph's coat), 1152 nucleotides. RefSeq lists it as uncharacterized. The transcript is spliced from 4 exons. The record is from RefSeq and is a predicted model, not a curated record. NCBI's taxonomy places the organism in Eukaryota, Viridiplantae, Streptophyta, Magnoliopsida, Caryophyllales, Amaranthaceae.
UUUGAUCCAAAUACCAAAUUCAAUACCAAUGGCAAUAAGGCAAUAACCAAGCCAGUAUUAGUAGAAUUGGGACAAACUGCUCCAUUUUGGAACAAAAAUCCCUCUAAAUAUAAAAUGUUUGUAAGCAAUCAAUGCUACUCCUAUGAAUCACUCAUUUUUUAUUUCCAAUUUUCUCCUGUCUUUACCUUUCUUCACCAAACUGAUUUUUGCUCUUUCUUCUUUCCCUCUUUCCCUUUCUUCACCAAACUAACUUUUGUUCAACUAGCUGUCAAUUUCUGAUUUUUGUUCAACAGGUAAAGCUUUGAUUCAGGCGAAGAAACCAACUGUCAUUCGGACAAAAUUGCACAGAUUCAGUAUAUUUUCGGAUAACACUUGGUGUCUUUCGACCAAUGGAGGAAGAUGCUCCGAUUUUGGAUAGAAAAUGAAGCAAGGAAAAGCCGAGCGCGGUCAAAGGUUCUAGAGGAGGUGGGAUGUCAAUGGAAAUGGGAUAGACAAUAGUGCUUUAAAAGUCGGAACUAAGAUCUAUUUUGUUGCUCGCAUACAAAAAGUUUGUCUGUUUGAUUGAACUUUUGUGUAUACUUGUCACAGAGACGUGUAUUUGUAGUUAGACCAAGGUUGUCUUGCUUUGCUUUUGGUAGCAGUCAUGCACAAUAACUCAAUUGGAUCAAAGUGACUUGAUUUGGAAAUCUACUAUGUAAUUUGUAUAUAUGUUGUUGGCAAAGCAAUUAUGUAUGAGUUAUCUCGACCCAAAAUUUUUUUGGUAAAGGAAAUCUUUAAUAUGGUAAUCUCAUGCCAUAAUACAUCUCAACAAUUAGCUUGUAAACAUUGUUUUAUAUGGCUUUCAAUGUUGCAAUUUGCUAGCUAUGAGUUGUUUAUCAAACUUUGUAAAUAACUUUUCUAUCUUUGUGUAUUUUACAAUAAGUUUAAUGUUAUUUUUUAUUAGCUACAAGUUCAAUUGAAAUCAAUUUAAUCCAUAAUGGGAAUCUUUUCUUGAUUGUGUUAUUGUCAAAUAAAAAAAUGUCCACAGAAACAAUUGCUUUAUUGUUCGCGACUUAUAGUAAUAAUUCAAUGAUAACUAUACAAUACAAGUAGCAAUUUGCUAUUUAUUACUUGAUUGUGUAAAUUGUGGUUUUUUCUUUUGCUAAGCUCCUU